RNAcentral lists this transfer RNA (65 nucleotides) under Rhodnius pictipes. RNAcentral's name for it is "tRNA-Ile". Lineage: Eukaryota; Metazoa; Arthropoda; Insecta; Hemiptera; Reduviidae. The record is from RNAcentral.
GAUAGGGUGCCUGAAUAAAAGGGCUAUUUUGAUAGAAUAGAAUAUGUAUAAAUAUACCCCUAUUA